CAGCCGCCGCGGGAAUACGAAGGGUGCAAGCGUUAAUCGGAAUUACUGGGCGUAAAGCGUGCGUAGGCGGUUUGUUAAGUCUGUUGUGAAAUCCCCGGGCUCAACCUGGGAAUGGCAAUGGAUACUGGCAAGCUAGAGUGUGUCAGAGGAUGGUGGAAUUCCCGGUGUAGCGGUGAAAUGCGUAGAGAUCGGGAGGAACACCAGUGGCGAAGGCGGCCAUCUGGGACAACACUGACGCUGAGGCACGAAAGCGUGGGGAGCAAACAGGAUUAGAUACCCCCGUAGUCCCUGUCUCUUAUAC
Molecule: ribosomal RNA, 301 nt
Filed under: uncultured bacterium
Lineage: Bacteria
Description: partial 16S ribosomal RNA
Rfam family: Bacterial small subunit ribosomal RNA
Source: RNAcentral